AUAAAAAGCUUCUGCAUAGUGAAGGAAACAAUCCACAAAACAAAAGGCAAUCGACGGAAUGGGAGAAGAUAUUUGCAAAGGACAUAUUGGAUAAAAGGUUAGCAUCCAAGAUCUAUAAAUAUCCUCUCAAACUCAA
This is a long non-coding RNA of Leopardus geoffroyi (Geoffroy's cat), 136 nucleotides long. RefSeq lists it as uncharacterized. NCBI's taxonomy places the organism in Eukaryota, Metazoa, Chordata, Mammalia, Carnivora, Felidae. The transcript is spliced from 3 exons. The record is from RefSeq and is a predicted model, not a curated record.